RNAcentral lists this transfer RNA (74 nucleotides) under Patescibacteria group bacterium. RNAcentral describes it as "tRNA-Lys". It matches the Rfam family "tRNA". Rfam says of the family: Transfer RNA (tRNA) molecules are approximately 80 nucleotides in length. Their secondary structure includes four short double-helical elements and three loops (D, anti-codon, and T loops). RNAcentral also lists the same sequence under 1 other name. The record is from RNAcentral.
GCGCCCAUAGCUCAGCCCGGUAGAGCACCUGCCUUUUAAGCAGAGGGUCGUUGGUUCGAAUCCAACUGGGCGCA